RNAcentral lists this ribosomal RNA (949 nucleotides) under Syphacia muris. RNAcentral describes it as "16S ribosomal RNA". The record is from RNAcentral. Lineage: Eukaryota; Metazoa; Nematoda; Chromadorea; Rhabditida; Oxyuridae.
GUUGUUUAGAUGAACAGUAUUAUGUAUGUGUUAGAUAAAAUUAGUUUUGCAUACUAUUGUUAGUUAAUUAUCAUAUGAGUUAUGAUUAAUAGAAAUUAUCAGAAAAUGUAAUUUAUGAUUUUUUGUUAUAAAAUUAAUUUUAGGUUAUAUUGUUUUGAUAAGGCGUUGAUAAUGAUAACUGUUUUGUUUUGAUAAUAUUAGAAAGUUAUAUAGGAGAGUAUAAUUUAUGAGAGUGUUGGUUUGAUAGUAUCUGUUGAGUGUUUAAUAACUUUAAGUUUGAUUGGUUAGUGUUUGGGUUUUGUAUCAUGAUUUAGAUAUAUAUAUGAUUAAUAAUUUAGUAAGUUAUGUUAUUAGAAGGUUAGUAAUAUUGAAUGAAUAAUAGAGAAAUGAAUUUGGGCUCGAAUGUUUUUUAAAGACUUAGGUUUUUGUAUAAAAUUGUCUUCUGCUCUAUGGGUUAAACUGAAUGGCGGCCUUAGCGUGAGGGUAUGAAAGUAGCGUAAUGAUUUGUGUUUUUAAUGGGCUCUAGUAUGAAUGGAGAGAACGGGUUUUGAUUUUCUUUUGUUGAUGGUGAAUUAUGUGUUUAAUUAAAAAUUAUUAGGUUUAUUUAUACUAAGAUAAGUCUUCGGAAAUUUUUUUUUUUGAAUGUUUUUUAGGGUAAAAAUUUAUGUAAGAUGUUAAUCUAUAUGAUAAGGGUAAAAGUUACUUCGGAGUUAACAGAAUGAUAUUUUUUAUAUAGUUGUUAUAUUAGGAAAAAUAUUACAUCGAUGUUGUAUUUAUAUUAGUUAGGGGGUAGAAAGCUUAAUGUUUAAGACUGUUCUUCUGUGAGAAAAUAUAACGUGAUAUUAGUUUAAUUCAUCGUGAGAUAGAAUUGUUUAUCUAGUUAAAUAAUUUAUGGAGUUUAUGUUAGUACGAGAGGAAAAUGUAUGAAGUUUAAAAUUGGUUUGUGUGA